This 479-nucleotide ribosomal RNA is filed under the name uncultured bacterium. Its description in RNAcentral is "partial 16S ribosomal RNA". It matches the Rfam family "Bacterial small subunit ribosomal RNA", at positions 28 to 507 of the family's 1533-position model. The record is from RNAcentral.
GACGAACGCUGGCGGCGCGCUUAACACGUGCAAGUCGAGCGAUGAAAUUUCGACAGAUCCCUUCGGGGUGAAGAUGAAAUGGAUUAGCGGCGGACGGGUGAGUAACACGUGAGUAACCUGCCUUUGACAUUGGGAUAGCCUCGGGAAACUGGGAUUAAUACCAAAUGACACUAACUGAUCACAUGAUCAAUUAGUCAAAGAAAUUCGGUCAAAGAUGGACUCGCGGCUGAUUAGCUAGUUGGUGAGGUAACGGCCCACCAAGGCGACGAUCAGUAGCCGGCCUGAGAGGGUGAUCGGCCACAUUGGAACUGAGACACGGUCCAAACUCCUACGGGAGGCAGCAGUGGGGAAUAUUGCACAAUGGGGGAAACCCUGAUGCAGCGACGCCGCGUGAGCGAAGAAGGCCUUCGGGUCGUAAAGCUCUUUUAUGAGGGAAGAUAAUGACGGUACCUCAAGAAAAAGCCCCGGCUAACUACGUG